RNAcentral lists this ribosomal RNA (510 nucleotides) under uncultured bacterium. RNAcentral describes it as "partial 16S ribosomal RNA". It matches the Rfam family "Bacterial small subunit ribosomal RNA", at positions 28 to 507 of the family's 1533-position model. The record is from RNAcentral.
GACGAACGCUGGCGGCGUGCCUAACACAUGCAAGUCGAACGAAGAGCGAUGGAAGCUUUCUUCUAUCAAUCUUAGUGGCGAACGGGUGAGUAACGCGUAAUCAACCUGCCCUUCAGAGGGGGACAACAGUUGGAAACGACUGCUAAUACCGCAUACGAUCUAAUCUCGGCAUCCAGGAUAGAUUAAAGGUGGCCUCUACAUGUAAGCUAUCACUGAAGGAGGGGAUUGCGUCUGGUUAGCUAGUUGGAGGGGUAACGGCCCACCAAGGCGAGGAUCAGUAGCCGGUCUUAGAAGAUGAACGGCCAAAAUGGGACUGAGACAAGGCCCAGACUCCUACGGGAGGGAGCAGUGGGGAAACUUUCGACAUGGACGGAAGUCUGGAGGAGGAAAGCCGGGGGAGGGAAGGCGGCCUUCGGGUUGGAAAGCUCUGUUAAUCGGGAAGGAAGGCCUGCUUGCGAAUAGCGAGAAGGAUUGACGGUACCGGAAGAGAAAGCCACGGCUAACUACGUG